RNAcentral lists this unclassified non-coding RNA (376 nucleotides) under uncultured Pseudomonadota bacterium. Its description in RNAcentral is "uncultured proteobacterium contains 16S-23S intergenic spacer region". The record is from RNAcentral. Lineage: Bacteria; Pseudomonadati; Pseudomonadota.
UCCGGUUUGUCACCGGCAGUCCCAUUAGAGUGCUCAACUGAAUGUAGCAACUAAUGGCAAGGGUUGCGCUCGUUGCGGGACUUAACCCAACAUCUCACGACACGAGCUGACGACAGCCAUGCAGCACCUGUGUCCAGGCUCCCUUUCGGGCACCGAGGUAUCUCUACCCCCUUCCGCACAUGUCAAGGGUAGGUAAGGUUUUUCGCGUUGCAUCGAAUUAAUCCACAUAAUCCACCGCUUGCGCGGGCCCCCGUCAAUUCCUUUGAGUUUUAAUCUUGCGACCGUACUCCCCAGGCGGAAUGCUUAAUGCGUUAGCUGCGCCACCGACGGGCAAGCCCGCCAACGGCUGGCAUUCAUCGUUUAAGGCGUGGACUAC